UACGUAGGGGGCGAGCGUUAUCCGGAUUCAUUGGGCGUAAAGCGCGCGUAGGCGUCCCGUUAGGUCGGGAGUUAAAUCCGGGGGCUCAACCCCCGCCCGCUCCCGAUACCGGCUGGCUUGAGUCUGGUAGGGGAAGGCGGAAUUCCCAGUGUAGCGGUGGAAUGCGCAGAUAUUGGGAAGAACACCGGUGGCGAAGGCGGCCUUCUGGGCCACGACUGACGCUGAGGCGCGAGAGCUAGGGGAGCGAACA
This 250-nucleotide ribosomal RNA is filed under the name uncultured prokaryote. RNAcentral's name for it is "partial 16S ribosomal RNA". It matches the Rfam family "Bacterial small subunit ribosomal RNA", at positions 524 to 774 of the family's 1533-position model. The record is from RNAcentral.